This 105-nucleotide small nuclear RNA is filed under the name Propithecus coquereli (Coquerel's sifaka). Lineage: Eukaryota; Metazoa; Chordata; Mammalia; Primates; Indriidae. The record is from RNAcentral.
GUGCUUAUUUCAGCAGUGCCCAAACUAAAAUUGGAACAAUACAGAUAAGAUUAGCAUGGCCUCUCUACAAGGAUGACAUAAAUUCAUGAAGUAUUCCAUAUUUUA